Molecule: ribosomal RNA, 246 nt
Filed under: uncultured bacterium
Lineage: Bacteria
Description: partial 16S ribosomal RNA
Rfam family: Bacterial small subunit ribosomal RNA
Source: RNAcentral
GACCGGCGCACGGGUGAGUAACGCGUAUCCAACCUUCCGCAUACUCGGGAAUAGCCUUUCGAAAGAAAGAUUAAUGCCCGAUGGUAUCCUAAAUGCACAUGCGAGUAGGAUUAAAGAUUCAUCGGUAUGCGAUGGGGAUGCGUUCCAUUAGAUAGUUGGCGGGGUAACGGCCCACCAAGUCGACGAUGGAUAGGGGUUCUGAGAGGAAGGUCCCCCACAUUGGAACUGAGACACGGUCCAAACUCC